AAACUGCUGUUAAGAUUAUUAUUAUUAUUGCAUGAACAAAUAAUUUUAAGGAAGUAGGUGCAUUUUUCAGGACCCAGAUUCUAGUGAAUAUGUAAAGUCAAUUUAGAGCAGGAGAGUAGUAUACAGUAGAAGCAGUUGUGCCACAGACUCGGAUAACUAAGGAUCCAGCGAUGAAAACUGUCGAAUUAUUCGAUAACUGAAUCUGACUGUAGAACUAAUCAUUUGAAUUUAUAUCUUAAUCUUGAUUCUUUGAUGCGCGUGAGUUAUGCCCAGAUGCCGAGUCUUUUGCUUCGUGCGCGUGAGCUGCGUCGAGAUACAGAGUUAAGAGGUGUAGGUGUAACUGGGGGCUUUCGAAUUAGAGUGCUUGACUUGAACCUGAACGAAAGUAUUGGAAUGAUAGUAAACGAUUCAGUAUAUGAUAUGAUAUAUACCCACGUUUCAAUUUAUUACUUUGUUUCUACAUGGUACAGAACUGAGUUUACAUUAAUUACUCGACUUACGGAGGCUAUCAUUUUGUAGACCGGGUAAAGGUAAAAUUGCCCCUGUGCUCAAUUAAUUCAGCACCAUGCCAUGAAGAUGUAUGGGAGAGUGAAGAUGUAACUCCAUCAUUCCUGACCUUGGUACUAGGUAGAGUUCAAAUUUAGGUGGCAGCUUGGGCACACUCCUUGCUGCAAAAAGGCUGCUCAUUUUUCACAAGAAACUUGCCACC
Cryptotermes secundus is the source of this 709-nucleotide long non-coding RNA. RefSeq lists it as uncharacterized. The record is from RefSeq and is a predicted model, not a curated record. The transcript is spliced from 3 exons. Lineage: Eukaryota; Metazoa; Arthropoda; Insecta; Blattodea; Kalotermitidae.